Helianthus annuus (common sunflower) is the source of this 1670-nucleotide RNA transcript. RefSeq lists it as uncharacterized. The record is from RefSeq and is a predicted model, not a curated record. The transcript is spliced from 12 exons. Lineage: Eukaryota; Viridiplantae; Streptophyta; Magnoliopsida; Asterales; Asteraceae.
UUUCCCAUUCCUUCUCUCUCACAACUCAGAUGUCACAAAACUCCAGAUCUUCUCUCUCUCUCUCUCUCUCGCUCUACGACUCAAGAACAUCAUGCCAGAUCUCUCAUCAGAUGUCGUUUCAUGACAAGACCGUUGAAGUGGUUCCGACACCUGAGCUCUGGUGGAGGAGACUAGGGUUUCGGCGAAGAUAAAGCCAUCGGAGGCUGAACCACCGGUGCAGGUAUCAUCUUCAUCAUCUAAACUAUCAUUGUUGGGAACAUGGAUGUCGUUUAUUGUUUACAAUUAGAUCCAUUGGCAGCUAUUGAACCAUCUUUCUUCAAGAUUACAGGUCGGAGCGGUUGCAGGCGGAACAUAUCCAGCAAUUGGAGUGGAUACAACCUGGUUAAGAAACAGGGCUCGAAGGGAAUGUAUGUAGAUUCCAUGAGGUUGUUGGGGCUGUGGGGUGUGAGAGGCGGAAAGUCUUAUUUGGAGUGACCAGGAAUGACGCUACGGUGGUGGUAGUCUUGGAAGAGAUCUCCCAACAAGUCUUUUGGCCUGAGGAUCUUCGAAGGCCAUUUGGACACUUUGGUCAUUUAAAGGACAUUUACUUGCCAAGGGAUUAUUAUAGCGGGAAAUAGAGGCUGUAAGGAACAAUUUGAUGCCCUUAAAGAAAAAGUAGUGUUUGGGGCAGACAUGGGAACCGAGAGGUUGGGUAUGGAAGCUAUCAAGCCGGAGAUGGAAUCUUGAAUUGGGGUGAAGAUCGACGUUUCGACGAAAUGCGUAGUAAUUUUGGCAAAUUGGCUGUUUUCUGGAUUUUUCAGGCUAUAAGGGUUUGGACUUUGGACAGUAAGUCUACCUGUGACAAUUGUCAAUGCGAGAGACUCAGAUCCCGAUAUUGAAGCACGAGACAUAAUCGGGUGGAUUAUGUGGUCUAUUGGCAUCUCAAUUAUUGCUUCUUUUUAUUAGCGGGAUACCAUUGCUCGAGGAGUUUGGAGAUAAAAAGUAUGGAAACGUGGCGGGAUACCGACACUAUAAAAAGACUACAAGUCCUCGGAUUCCACUGCCUCAGUGGAAGCUUGCCGUCUUGGGUCAAAGCUGCUUUCUAUUUGAGCUUCCAUUGUAUAAUCGAAAUCUUCCUAAAGAAGAAGCAUUGGGCUGAAGUGAGGGACGUCGAGCACGGCUUGGGGAGGACGAAGAUGACGCGGCGCGGCAGGAGGUGGCGGUGUAGCUGGCCCUCGACGUGGCUCGCCGUCCCGGGGACAAGCCCCACACCCAUUAGCCAUAGCUUCAGCAACAUGUUUCAAUCACCUAACAUGGGCUCUAUUCUUCUUCUUUACACUUGUGACACUACAAACCAUAUAGCAUGCAGAUUCACUGACACAUACACAUACAACACAAACGUCAAUACACAUACAUUGUACAUGAACCAAAAGGUCAAAGCUAAACAAUGGCAGGCCUCUUUCUCUUCCACAAUGGACAACAUUGGUAUUCCAACAAGAGUCCGACUGCAGCAUGCGGAUGUCUGAAGUAGCGAGCGCGGCGCAGCAAUCGCAGCGUUCCUACUUUAUAGAAAGACGAAAUUGGAUUUUGUAGAAGAUGAAUUGUUGUACUUGAUUUGUAUAUUUUACAGUUGAAUUGUAAAAGAUGAACUAGGCUGGAUGUUUAAGAGUUGCACUGCAGUAAAAAAAAAA